Oncorhynchus nerka (sockeye salmon) is the source of this 1039-nucleotide long non-coding RNA. RefSeq lists it as uncharacterized. The record is from RefSeq and is a predicted model, not a curated record. The transcript has 3 exons. NCBI's taxonomy places the organism in Eukaryota, Metazoa, Chordata, Actinopteri, Salmoniformes, Salmonidae.
GACAGCAUUAAGAGAGAAACCAGAAGAUAUGUUUUAAGAAGAAAGUUAAAUGAUAAUUUUCUGAAAAACUGUAUGAGAAAGUAAGGAAAAAGGGGUAGAUAUAAAGAAAGAGCGAGCGAUGGAAGAGCAAGUCAAAGGAACAGCACGAAAAGAAAGAACGGUGGCAGACAGAUGGACAUACAGGGUGUAAAGUAAUGGAGGAAGAGGUCCAGACAUACAGGGUGUAAAGUAAUGGAGGAAGAGGUCCAGACAUACAGGGUGUAAAGUAAUGGAGGAAGAGGUCCAGACAUACAGGGUGUAAAGUAAUGGAGGAAGAGGUCCAGACAUACAGGGUGUAAAGUAAUGGAGGAAAAGGUCCAGACAUACAGGGUGUAAAGUAAUGGAGGAAAAGGUCCAGACAUACAGGGUGUAAAGUAAUGGAGGAAGAGGUCCAGACAUACAGGGUAUAAAGUAAUGGAGGAAGAGGUCCAGAAGGUGGACAUACAGGGUGUAAAGUAAUGGAGGAAGAGGUCCAGACAUACAGGGUGUAAAGUAAUGGAGGAAGAGGUCCAGACAUACAGGGUGUAAAGUAAUGGAGGAAGAGGUCCAGACAUACAGGGUAUAAAGUAAUGGAGGAAGAGGUCCAGAAGGUGGACAUACAGGGUGUAAAGUAAUGGAGGAAGAGGUCCAGACAUACAGGGUGUAAAGUAAUGGAGGAAGAGGUUCAGACAUACAGGGUGUAAAGUAAUGGAGGAAGAGGUCCAGACAUACAGGGUGUAAAGUAAUGGAGGAAGAGGUCCAGACACAGAUGGACAUACAGGGUGUAAAGUAAUGGAGGAAGAGGUCCAGACAUACAGGGUGUAAAGUAAUGGAGGAAGAGGUCCAGACACAGAUGGACAUACAGGGUGUAAAGUAAUGGAGGAAGAGGUCCAGACAUACAGGGUGUAAAGUAAUGGAGGAAGAGGUCCAGACACAGAUGGACAUACAGGGUGUAAAGUAAUGGAGGAAGAGGUCCAGACAUACAGGGUGUAAAGUAAUGGAGGAAGAGGUCCAGACAGAU